RNAcentral lists this ribosomal RNA (376 nucleotides) under uncultured Bacillota bacterium. Its description in RNAcentral is "bacterial SSU rRNA". It matches the Rfam family "Bacterial small subunit ribosomal RNA", at positions 524 to 898 of the family's 1533-position model. The record is from RNAcentral. Lineage: Bacteria; Bacillati; Bacillota.
AACGUAGGGGGCGAGCGUUGUCCGGAAUUACUGGGCGUAAAGGGCGCGUAGGCGGUCAUUUAAGUCAGAGGUGAAAACUACCGGCUCAACCGGUAGCCUGCCUUUGAAACUGGAUGACUUGAGGGCAGGAGAGGGGAGUGGAAUUCCCAGUGUAGCGGUGAAAUGCGUAGAUAUUGGGAGGAACACCAGUGGCGAAGGCGGCUCUCUGGCCUGUUUCUGACGCUGAGGCGCGAAAGCGUGGGGAGCGAACGGGAUUAGAUACCCCGGUAGUCCACGCCGUAAACGAUGGGUGCUAGGUGUAGGAGGUAUCGACCCCUUCUGUGCCGUAGUUAACACAAUAAGCACCCCGCCUGGGGAGUACGGCCGCAAGGUUGAA